This 200-nucleotide unclassified non-coding RNA is filed under the name [Candida] sp. Its description in RNAcentral is "Candida sp. (in: Saccharomycetales) partial internal transcribed spacer 2". The record is from RNAcentral. Lineage: Eukaryota; Fungi; Ascomycota; Saccharomycetes; Saccharomycetales.
UUAAGUUCAGCGGGUAGUCCUACCUGAUUUGAGGUCGAAAGUAAUAGUGUGUCGCGAAAACAUGAGUUGGGUAAUCCUAGACAUGUUGCGUAUUCCUUUCGAGUAGACUUGCGUGCACUCACAGCCAAACCCGGGGGUUUGAGAGAGUCUGACGCUCAAACAGGCAUGCCUUGAGGAAUACCUCAAGGCGCAAUGUGCGU